Phialemonium atrogriseum is the source of this 97-nucleotide non-coding RNA. Lineage: Eukaryota; Fungi; Ascomycota; Sordariomycetes; Cephalothecales; Cephalothecaceae. The record is from the annotation of a RefSeq genome assembly.
GGGGCAGUGGCGCAGUUGGGAGUCGCGUUAGACUGAAGCUAAACUUCAAUCAUUAUCAUCAAUCUAAAGGUCACCGGAUCAAAGCCGGUCUGCCCCA